Molecule: long non-coding RNA, 127 nt
Organism: Thalassophryne amazonica
Lineage: Eukaryota; Metazoa; Chordata; Actinopteri; Batrachoidiformes; Batrachoididae
Exons: 3
Source: RefSeq, a predicted model, not a curated record
GGCAGUAGUCCAGAAGAUUGUCACUGACACCCUCCACAAGGAGGGUAAGCUACAAAAGGUCAUGGCUAAAGAAGCUGGCUGUUCAGAGUGCUGUAUCCAAGCAUAUUAAUGAAAAGCUCAGUGGAAG